RNAcentral lists this ribosomal RNA (502 nucleotides) under uncultured bacterium. Its description in RNAcentral is "partial 16S ribosomal RNA". It matches the Rfam family "Bacterial small subunit ribosomal RNA", at positions 29 to 523 of the family's 1533-position model. The record is from RNAcentral.
AUUGAACGCUGGCGGAAUGCUUUACACAUGCAAGUCGAACGGCAGCACGGGUGCUUGCACCUGGUGGCGAGUGGCGAACGGGUGAGUAAUACAUCGGAACGUACCCAGUCGUGGGGGAUAACGUAGCGAAAGUUACGCUAAUACCGCAUACGUCCUGAGGGAGAAAGCGGGGGACCGUAAGGCCUCGCGCGAUUGGAGCGGCCGGUGGCGGAUUAGCUAGUUGGGGGGGUAAAGGCCUACCAAGGCGACGAUCCGUAGCGGGGCUGAGAGGACGGCCCGCCACACUGGAACUGAGACACUGUCCAGACUCCUACGGGAGGCAGCAGUGGGGAAUUUUGGACAAUGGGCGAAAGCCUGAUCCAGCCAUUCCGCGUGAGUGAAGAAGGCCUUCGGGUUGUAAAGCUCUUUCGGCAGGGAAGAAACGGCUUGGGAUAAUACCCCGGGCUAAUGACGGUACCUGAAGAAGAAGCACCGGCUAACUACGUGCCAGCCGCCGCCGUAA